RNAcentral lists this transfer RNA (76 nucleotides) under Candidatus Sumerlaeota bacterium. Its description in RNAcentral is "tRNA-Gly". It matches the Rfam family "tRNA". Rfam says of the family: Transfer RNA (tRNA) molecules are approximately 80 nucleotides in length. Their secondary structure includes four short double-helical elements and three loops (D, anti-codon, and T loops). The record is from RNAcentral. Lineage: Bacteria; Candidatus Sumerlaeota.
GCGGGAAUAGCUCAGUUGGUAGAGCGCGACCUUGCCAAGGUCGAUGUCGCCGGUUCGAGUCCGGUUUCCCGCUCCA